AUUGAACGCUGGCGGCAUGCUUUACACAUGCAAGUCGAACGGUAACAGGGUGCUUGCACCGCUGACGAGUGGCGAACGGGUGAGUAAUGCGUCGGAACGUGACGAGUAGUGGGGGAUAACGCAGCGAAAGUUGUGCUAAUACCGCAUACGUACUGAGGUAGAAAGGGGGGGACCGUCGGGCCUCAGGCUAUUCGAGCGGGCGCCGUCUGAUUAGCUAGUAGGGGAGGUAAAGGCUGACCUAGGCGACGAUGAGUAGCGGGUCUUAGGGGAUUCUCCGCCAGACGGGGACUGGGACACGGACCAGACUCAUACGGGAGGCAGCAGUGGGGAAUUUUGGACAAUGGCGAAAGCCUGAUCCAGCCAUGCCGCGUGUCUGAAGAAGGCCUUCGGGUUGUAAAGGACUUUUGUCAGGGAGGAAAUCCCUAGUGCUAAUAACACUGGGGGAUGACAGUACCUGAAGAAUAAGCACCGGCUAACUACGUGCCAGCCGCCGCAGUAA
RNAcentral lists this ribosomal RNA (499 nucleotides) under uncultured bacterium. RNAcentral's name for it is "partial 16S ribosomal RNA". It matches the Rfam family "Bacterial small subunit ribosomal RNA", at positions 29 to 523 of the family's 1533-position model. The record is from RNAcentral.